This 396-nucleotide ribosomal RNA is filed under the name Candidatus Omnitrophota bacterium. Its description in RNAcentral is "Candidatus Omnitrophica bacterium partial 23S ribosomal RNA". It matches the Rfam family "Bacterial large subunit ribosomal RNA", at positions 2571 to 2925 of the family's 2925-position model. The record is from RNAcentral. Lineage: Bacteria; Pseudomonadati; Candidatus Omnitrophota.
GAUUGGCGGAUCCGCCGAAGCGUGUGAACACGCAGGCGGAGGCAGAAAUGUCCAAUCCCUUUAUAUAGUGUUUAUAAAGCGUAACAGUAUGUCGGUCUCUAUCUGAUGCAGGCGCAGGAUAUUUGAGGGGGACUGUCCCUAGUACGAGAGGACCUGAAGAAACGAACCUCUGGUGUUCCAGUUGUCCUGCCAAGGGCAAAGGCUGGGUAGCUAUGUUCGGAAGGGAUAAGCGCUGAAAGCAUCUAAGUGCCAAGCCCACCCCAAGAUUAGAUAUCCCUCUCUGGCCGUAAGGCUGGAGUGAAGGCAGGUUGUAGACUACAACCUUGAUAGGCGCGGUGUGUAAGGCCCGUAAGGGCUUUAGCUAACGCGUACUAAUUUGCCAAUCGGCUUGACCUU